Zonotrichia leucophrys gambelii is the source of this 528-nucleotide long non-coding RNA. RefSeq lists it as uncharacterized. The transcript is spliced from 3 exons. NCBI's taxonomy places the organism in Eukaryota, Metazoa, Chordata, Aves, Passeriformes, Passerellidae. The record is from RefSeq and is a predicted model, not a curated record.
GCUGGUGAACUCAGGUCUGGAGCUCUGCGUAGAGAACUGGUCAGAACUUGCAGGGAUUUUCCAGUGCCAGCUGGUUCUGCUUCAUCAACUGGAAGGCGAAGUGCUGAGGAAAAAAGUUUGUCCUUCCUUUGUCCAGAGCAGAAGAAUGCUGAGUACAGCUGAAUACAGAUCUGAGCUGCAGCUUCCUUGGAUUUCCAAGCCAAACCUUCAGUGAUACCCAAGUUGGGAAAAGAAAAUAGAAAACCUCUACCUGGAAUAGUGUAUUAUGAGGGAUGGCUCCAAAUGAGGAAAAACAAGAGCAACUAGGAGGCUCAAGAUCUGUAAAUUAAAAAGGAAUAAAGGACAUUCUUCAUGCAGCCUUCCCACUUUGCUUUUAAUUCCCUUACCUGGUAAAGCUUAGAGCAAAAGUUAAAUCAGUUUAUAAUGACAGUGUGCAGCAGUUUAGGAUAUAUCCUCCUUAAUAUCUUUGUCUUUGGCACAGUGAAAAAAAAAAAAAAGAACAACUUAUUGUGAUUAUUGCCGCUCUUA